RNAcentral lists this ribosomal RNA (416 nucleotides) under Enterobacter sp. Vi20. RNAcentral describes it as "bacterial SSU rRNA". It matches the Rfam family "Bacterial small subunit ribosomal RNA", at positions 979 to 1392 of the family's 1533-position model. The record is from RNAcentral. Lineage: Bacteria; Pseudomonadati; Pseudomonadota; Gammaproteobacteria; Enterobacterales; Enterobacteriaceae.
UCUUGACUCCAGAGCAACUUUCCAGAGAUGGUUUCUGGUGCCUUCGGGAACUCUGAGACAGGUGCUUGCAUGGCUGUCGUCAGCUCGUGUUGUGAAAUGUUGGGUUAAGUCCCGCAACGAGCGCAACCCUUAUCCUUUGUUGCCAGCGGUUCGGCCGGGAACUCAAAGGAGACUGCCAGUGAUAAACUGGAGGAAGGUGGGGAUGACGUCAAGUCAUCAUGGCCCUUACGAGUAGGGCUACACACGUGCUACAAUGGCGCAUACAAAGAGAAGCGACCUCGCGAGAGCAAGCGGACCUCAUAAAGUGCGUCGUAGUCCGGAUUGGAGUCUGCAACUCGACUCCAUGAAGUCGGAAUCGCUAGUAAUCGUAGAUCAGAAUGCUACGGUGAAUACGUUCCCGGGUCUUGUACACACCG